Osmerus eperlanus (European smelt) is the source of this 895-nucleotide long non-coding RNA. RefSeq lists it as uncharacterized. The transcript is spliced from 2 exons. NCBI's taxonomy places the organism in Eukaryota, Metazoa, Chordata, Actinopteri, Osmeriformes, Osmeridae. The record is from RefSeq and is a predicted model, not a curated record.
CAUAAGCUGCGCCGUCAUUGAAAGUCGCUGUAUCACUGUUGUCCAGUAGGAAUAAAGUCUCCCCGAGGAAGGAUUAACAGACUUGUCUGAACAACUAACUACAAAGUAACAACCACAAGUUUGAAAGCGUUCAACUUGUUCAAACGUUGGCUAUAUCCCAAUCCUUAAAAGACUAAAUCGAAAGAAAGGAAUUCGUAAUAAUCGGUUGGGCAUUAAAUGUGGCUGAACUCCUGACGGAGCAAUACUGUGGCACAGGGUUGUAAAGCGAAAACAUGCCGAGUGAAAUCCUGAGGACUGUCUGCGCCGCGUUCACCGCCAUCGUUGUGUUCAUUCGAGCGGUGGACUCGUUUGGGGGUCUCAUGUAUGUCCAAGAUCACCAUGGUUACAUCUACGACGACUGUCCGACUGACGGGAAGUUAUCCUCAAGUUAUGCCUCCUCAUGUCAAUGUGACAACCGCAGCAGAGUGGCGACAGGGUUGUAAAGCGAAAUCCUGAAGACUGUCUGCGCCGCGUUCACCGCCAUCGUUGUGUUCAUUCGAGCGGUGGACUCGUUUGGGGGUCUCAUGUAUGUCCAAGAUCACCAUGGUUACAUCUACGACGACUGUCCGACUGACAGGAAGUUAUCCUCAAGUUAUGCCUCCUCAUGUCAAUGUGAAAACCGCAGCAGUGUCGAGAGGACCCACUAUGCUGCCAUGAACUAUCAUAACUAUCUUGUGUUGAGCUCGAAUAUUUGUUGUUGACCUUGUGUUCUUAGAUUAGGUUUUUUUUCUCCAUAGGCUUGUGCUACGUCUCUUUUGGACCAUUCAUUAGGCUAAUGAAUCAAUGUUUUGUAGGCCUUUGAGAGGCAAUUGGGAUCGCAGGCUAUUCUACUACUGUUUCAUAAAUGUCGUACGAU